CCUACGGGAGGCUGCAGUGGGGAAUAUUGGACAAUGGGGGCAACCCUGAUCCAGCCAUGCCGCGUGUGUGAAGAAGGCCCUCGGGUUGUAAAGCACUUUCAGUGAGGAAGAACGCCUGGUGGUUAAUACCCAUCAGGAAAGACAUCACUCACAGAAGAAGCACCGGCUAACUCCGUGCCAGCAGCCGCGGUAAUACGGAGGGUGCGAGCGUUAAUCGGAAUUACUGGGCGUAAAGCGCGCGUAGGUGGCUUGAUAAGCCGGUUGUGAAAGCCCCGAGCUCAACCUGGGAACGGCAUCCGGAACUGUCAAGCUAGAGUGCAGGAGAGGAAGGUAGAAUUCCCGGUGUAGCGGUAAAAUGCGUAGAGAUCGGGAGGAAUACCAGUGGCGAAGGCGGCCUUCUGGACUGACACUGACACUGAGGUGCGAAAGCGUGGGUAGCAAACAGGAUUAGAUACCCUAGUAGUC
This 465-nucleotide ribosomal RNA is filed under the name Vreelandella stevensii. RNAcentral describes it as "partial 16S ribosomal RNA". It matches the Rfam family "Bacterial small subunit ribosomal RNA", at positions 338 to 795 of the family's 1533-position model. Lineage: Bacteria; Pseudomonadati; Pseudomonadota; Gammaproteobacteria; Oceanospirillales; Halomonadaceae. The record is from RNAcentral.